GGACUACCGGGGUAUCUAAUCCUGUUUGCUCCCCUAGCUUUCGUUCCUCAGCGUCAGUUGCGGUCCAGCGAGCCGCCUUCGCCACGGGUGUUCCUACAGAUAUCUACGCAUUUCACCGCUACACCUGUAAUUCCACUCGCCUCUCCCGCACUCUAGCACGGCAGUUUCGAAAGCAGCCUCUGAGUUAAGCCCAGAGAUUUCACUUCCGACUUACCGCACCGCCUACGAACCCUUUACGCCCAGUAAUUCCGAGCAACGCUGGCCCCCUACGUCUUACCGCGGCUGCUGGCAC
Molecule: ribosomal RNA, 292 nt
Filed under: uncultured Acidobacteriota bacterium
Lineage: Bacteria; Pseudomonadati; Acidobacteriota
Description: uncultured Acidobacteria bacterium partial 16S ribosomal RNA
Source: RNAcentral